CAGAGGACAAUGAAACACGGGCAAAGAGAGUCGAGAGGAGCUGAAGUCAGUGCAUCUGCUCCUGAACUCCUCCGUCCCAUCAUGGCUCAAUCAGGAUCUCAAUCACCAGAUGAUGCUUUGCACGGGAGUUUGUGUUUCAUCACCCAAAGCAGUCCGGCUCUCUGAGCGUGAAGAAGACUGAGGUGAUGAAGAGGGGUUUGUUUUCCUCAGACGUGCUCCUCAUCCUCCUGCCCUCUCUGCUCGCCUCACACGCUCUGACGCUGGGUCUGGGAAUUUACAUAGGGAAACGGUUGGCCUCCUCCUCCAGCAGCACACUGUGACAUGUGACAUUUGGCAGCUCACUGAUUGGCUGAGGCCGCUGCCACUAGCACUGUAGCCCAAUCACGC
Molecule: long non-coding RNA, 387 nt
Organism: Sinocyclocheilus rhinocerous
Lineage: Eukaryota; Metazoa; Chordata; Actinopteri; Cypriniformes; Cyprinidae
Exons: 3
Source: RefSeq, a predicted model, not a curated record